AUUCGCCUCGUGCGCUAUCAAGCAGGACAAGACUCUCAGGUGGUGUCACAGAUCUUAUUCGGGGAGUUUCUGCCUUCAUGAUGUCCGGCACUGGACGUGCCGUGUGUAUACUGACCACACUGGCCAUCGCAUCUCUGCAGGAAAGCAUGGGGUUCAGCAACAAUAGAACCACCAGUUUCUCAAAGGUACACAAUCAAGCAGUAUCUCCAGUUGACACCAACGUGGGUUAUGGAAAAGAUGUUGAGGGUGACAUGGAUUAUGCUGGCGGAGGAAUAAUUACAAUGAAGCAUGGUAAAGGGGGACUGGCUGGAGUAAUGGGCGGAGGAGGUCGUGGAAGACAUGGGGGCGAUGGAGGAAGAGA
Molecule: long non-coding RNA, 361 nt
Organism: Haliotis rufescens (red abalone)
Lineage: Eukaryota; Metazoa; Mollusca; Gastropoda; Lepetellida; Haliotidae
Exons: 3
Source: RefSeq, a predicted model, not a curated record